This 460-nucleotide ribosomal RNA is filed under the name uncultured bacterium. Its description in RNAcentral is "partial 16S ribosomal RNA". It matches the Rfam family "Bacterial small subunit ribosomal RNA", at positions 338 to 795 of the family's 1533-position model. The record is from RNAcentral.
CCUACGGGUGGCAGCAGUGAGGAAUAUUGGUCAAUGGGCGCGAGCCUGAACCAGCCAAGUAGCGUGAAGGAUGACUGCCCUACGGGUUGUAAACUUCUUUUAUAAAGGAAUAAAGUGAGGCACGUGUGCCUUUUUGUAUGUACUUUAUGAAUAAGGAUCGGCUAACUCCGUGCCAGCAGCCGCGGUAAUACGGAGGAUCCGAGCGUUAUCCGGAUUUAUUGGGUUUAAAGGAAGCGGAGAUGGGUUGUUAAGUCAGUUGUGAAAGUUUGCGGCUCAACCGUAAAAGUGCAAUUGAUACUGGCAGUCUUGAGUACAGUUGAGGUAGGUGGAAGUCGUGGUGUAGCGGUGAAAUGCUUAGAGAUCACGAAGAACUCCGAUGGCGAAGGCAGCCUACUAAACUGCCACUGACAUUGAGGCUCGAAAGUGUGGGUAUCAAACAGGAUUAGAUACCCGGGUAGUC